Molecule: long non-coding RNA, 300 nt
Filed under: Trifolium pratense (red clover)
Lineage: Eukaryota; Viridiplantae; Streptophyta; Magnoliopsida; Fabales; Fabaceae
Description: long non-coding RNA (TPRA_LNC012902)
Source: RNAcentral
AGGUCACGUAAAAUAGAAACUGAAGGGACUUUUUCAAAAUCUACUCUAAGAAAACCCUAACUCGCUCACUCAAGCAGAACGGAAAAAGAAAAAAAUUUCAUUGAAGAAGCUACAACGAUUCGGUAAGUCGAUAAUCAAUUGUUAUACUUUAGAAAGCUUUGGUGUUUCUCUCCCUGUUGGCGUUUUUUUUUUCUUUUGUUUUUCUGUUGUAAAUUUUCUUUGGAUGUUUAGGUAUUGGGAGACUCCUUUGUUCCCUUUGGCUACUUUCUUUUCCUUCUUUUUGCUUCUUCUCUUGUACUU